UACUCAGAGUGUAAGGUACUAGCCAAUGGUGUUAAAAGUAUGGACAUCUUGCCCUACUUUAGCUGAAUUUCAGUAAUCAUGGCAUAAAUGGUUUGGAAGAAUUUUGUCAUUGUUGUGGCAUCAUCACUGCAAUUGAGGAGGCUAUUUUUAGGACAUCUAUCACAUUUACAUAGGUUGUUUCAAACCCUGUGAACCAUCUAUCAGCCAUGCCUUGAGCUGAAAACCCCCGAGGCUGGGGUGAUAGAUUUGACUGGCAUCCUGAGAGAAGGAGAUGGUCUACAGAGUGAUUGGUUAACAAACAAUGAGCUGAGUGAGGGAUGUAAAUUCCCAGAGAGAGUAAGAUAGCUGUAGGGUCUUUUAAAGUAUGAAGAGAUUCAUCCAUUUUUUCUGCAAACCACUUCAAUCCAUCAAAAGGAAGGUCCUCAGCUGUAUUUCGGACUUCCCUCAGAAAACCGAAGAGCUAAAGCCAGAAAACUCUCUUCAUGACUACCACUGGAGAUAGAAUGAGCGACUGUAUCAGUGGCAUUCAGAGAGACCUGCAGAGAUGUUCUUGUGUGCCAUUGGCUCUUUUCAAUGACCUCCUGGAAUUGCUCACUCUGGUUUGUU
Molecule: long non-coding RNA, 606 nt
Organism: Mauremys mutica (yellowpond turtle)
Lineage: Eukaryota; Metazoa; Chordata; Testudines; Geoemydidae
Exons: 3
Source: RefSeq, a predicted model, not a curated record